UACGUAGGGACCAAGCGUUGUUCGGAUUUACUGGGCGUAAAGGGCGCGCAGGCGGCUCAUUUUGUCAGGCGUGAAAGCCCCGGGCUUAACCUGGGAACUGCGUUUGAUACGGAUGGGCUAGAGUUCGGGAGAGGAGAGUGGAAUUCCCAGUGUAGAGGUGAAAUUCGUAGAUAUUGGGAAGAACACCGGUGGCGAAGGCGGCUCUCUGGACCGAUACUGACGCUGAGGCGCGAAAGCGUGGGGAGCAAACAGG
Molecule: ribosomal RNA, 253 nt
Filed under: uncultured bacterium
Lineage: Bacteria
Description: partial 16S ribosomal RNA
Rfam family: Bacterial small subunit ribosomal RNA
Source: RNAcentral